CUUUCGAAAGGAAGAUUAAUACCCCAUAAUAUAAUUGAUGGCAUCAUUGAUUAUUGAAAACUGAGGUGGAUAAAGAUGGGCACGCGCAAGAUUAGAUAGUUGGUAGGGUAACGGCCUACCAAGUCGAUGAUCUUUAGGGGGCCUGAGAGGGUGAUCCCCCACACUGGUACUGAGACACGGACCAGACUCCUACGGGAGGCAGCAGUGAGGAAUAUUGGACAAUGGGUGAGAGCCUGAUCCAGCCAUCCCGCGUGAAGGACGACGGCCCUAUGGGUUGUAAACUUCUUUUGUAUAGGGAUAAACCUUUCCACGUGUGGAAAGCUGAAGGUACUAUACGAAUAAGCACCGGCUAACUCCGUGCCAGCAGCCGCGGUAAUACGGAGGGUGCAAGCGUUAUCCGGAUUUAUUGGGUUUAAAGGGUCCGUAGGCGGAUCUGUAAGUCAGUGGUGAAAUCUCACAGCUUAACUGUGAAACUGCCAUUGAUACUGCAGGUCUUGAGUAAGGUAGAAGUAGCUGGAAUAAGUAGUGUAGCGGUGAAAUGCAUAGAUAUUACUUAGAA
Molecule: ribosomal RNA, 559 nt
Filed under: Chryseobacterium sp. LIPOA/UEL_71
Lineage: Bacteria; Pseudomonadati; Bacteroidota; Flavobacteriia; Flavobacteriales; Weeksellaceae
Description: bacterial SSU rRNA
Rfam family: Bacterial small subunit ribosomal RNA
Source: RNAcentral